UUACGUGACGAAGCACGCGCCAAAGUAGACAAUAAAGCCUGAGCUUCGUGUUAGUCACCCCAAGACGCUGGCCAUGCCAGCGUUUUUUU
Molecule: non-coding RNA, 89 nt
Organism: Leclercia adecarboxylata
Lineage: Bacteria; Pseudomonadati; Pseudomonadota; Gammaproteobacteria; Enterobacterales; Enterobacteriaceae
Source: Rfam